AGAGCGAACGCUGGCGGCAGGCUUAACACAUGCAAGUCGAGCGGGCGUAGCAAUACGUCAGCGGCAGACGGGUGAGUAACGCGUGGGAACGUACCUUUUGGUUCGGAACAACACAGGGAAACUUGUGCUAAUACCGGAUAAGCCCUUACGGGGAAAGAUUUAUCGCCAAAAGAUCGGCCCGCGUCUGAUUAGCUAGUUGGUGAGGUAACGGCUCACCAAGGCGACGAUCAGUAGCUGGUCUGAGAGGAUGAUCAGCCACAUUGGGACUGAGACACGGCCCAAACUCCUACGGGAGGCAGCAGUGGGGAAUAUUGGACAAUGGGCGCAAGCCUGAUCCAGCCAUGCCGCGUGAGUGAUGAAGGCCCUAGGGUUGUAAACCCCUUUCAGCAGGGACGAAGCGAAAGUGACGGUACCUGCAGAAGAAGCGCCGGCUAACUACGUGCCAGCAGCCGC
RNAcentral lists this ribosomal RNA (453 nucleotides) under uncultured bacterium. RNAcentral's name for it is "SSU rRNA". It matches the Rfam family "Bacterial small subunit ribosomal RNA", at positions 26 to 518 of the family's 1533-position model. The record is from RNAcentral.